RNAcentral lists this ribosomal RNA (253 nucleotides) under uncultured bacterium. RNAcentral describes it as "partial 16S ribosomal RNA". It matches the Rfam family "Bacterial small subunit ribosomal RNA", at positions 524 to 776 of the family's 1533-position model. The record is from RNAcentral.
UACAGAGGGUGCAAGCGUUAUUCGGAAUUAUUGGGCGUAAAGAGCACGUAGGCGGUUUAAUAAGUUUGCUGUGAAAACCCACGACUCAAUCGUGGAAGUGCAGUGAAUACUGUUAGACUAGAGUACUGGAGAGGAGAACGGAAUUCCUGGUGUAGAGGUGAAAUUCGUAGAUAUCAGGAGGAACAACGGAGGCGAAGGCGGUUCUCUGGACAGUAACUGACGCUGAGGUGCGAAAGCGUGGGGAGCGAACAGG